Molecule: ribosomal RNA, 253 nt
Filed under: uncultured bacterium
Lineage: Bacteria
Description: partial 16S ribosomal RNA
Rfam family: Bacterial small subunit ribosomal RNA
Source: RNAcentral
UACAGAGGGGGCAAGCGUUGUUCGGAAUUACUGGGCGUAAAGGGCGCGUAGGCGGCCUGUUAAGUCGAACGUGAAAUCCCCGGGCUCAACCCGGGAACUGCGUCCGAUACUGGCAGGCUUGAAUUCGGGAGAGGGAUGCGGAAUUCCAGGUGUAGCGGUGAAAUGCGUAGAUAUCUGGAGGAACACCGGUGGCGAAGGCGGAUCUCUGGGCCUUACCUGACGCUGAGGCGCGAAAGCUAGGGGAGCAAACAGG